AGAGUUUGAUCCUGGCUCAGAAUGAACGCUGGCGGCGUGCUUAACACAUGCAAGUCGGAUGUGCCGCAAGGUGCAUGGCAGACGGGUGAGUAACGCGUGGGGAACCUACCUCUUUGUGGGGAAUAACGCUCCGAAAGGAGUGGUAAUACCGCAUGUGAUCGCCGGUUGGAAUACGGGCGAUGAAAGCUGGGGCAACCUAGCGCAAGGAGAGGGUCCUGCGUCUGAUUAGCUAGUUGGUGGGGUAACGGCCUACCAAGGCGACGAUCAGUAGCCGACCUGAGAGGGUGAUCGGCCACAUUGGGACUGAGACACGGCCCAAACUCCUACGGGAGGCAGCAGUAGGGAAUCUUCCGCAAUGGACGAAGGUCUGACGGAGCAACGCCGCGUGAGUGAAGAAGGUUUUCGGAUCGUAAAACUCUGUUGUCAGAGAAGAACAAGUCGGAGAGUAACUGCUCCGGCCUUGACGGUAUCUGACCAGAAAGCCACGGCUAACUACGUGCCAGCAGCCGCGGUAAUACGUAGGUGGCAAGCGUUGUCCGGAUUUAUUGGGCGUAAAGCGAGCGCAGGCGGUUCCUUAAGUCUGAUGUGAAAGCCCACGGCUCAACCGUGGAAGGUCAUUGGAAACUGGGGAACUUGAGUGCAGAAGAGGAGAGUGGAAUUCCAUGUGUAGCGGUGAAAUGCGUAGAUAUAUGGAGGAACACCAGUGGCGAAGGCGACUCUCUGGUCUGUAACUGACGCUGAGGCUCGAAAGCGUGGGGAGCAAACAGGAUUAGAUACCCUGGUAGUCC
Molecule: ribosomal RNA, 788 nt
Filed under: uncultured bacterium
Lineage: Bacteria
Description: bacterial SSU rRNA
Rfam family: Bacterial small subunit ribosomal RNA
Source: RNAcentral